This is a non-coding RNA of Charadrius vociferus (killdeer), 81 nucleotides long. Lineage: Eukaryota; Metazoa; Chordata; Aves; Charadriiformes; Charadriidae. The record is from Rfam.
AGCUUGUUGAUGAUGUUUCUCAUUAAAAAAGUCUGAACAUGUGGACUCCAUAGUGAUUUCAGUGCAUUACUGAGAGAAGCU